GCGGUCUUGGGUCCGCCCGGCCGUCAGAACAGGCCUCAGCGGCCGGUUGUGGAAAUAAACCCAGGGAGCGGAAGGAGUAAUAACGAAAAAGCUUUACUAGUGUUUUAACCGUGUACAAAACACUGUAGCAAUAAGAGAAAGGCCCGUGCUAUCUGUGUUUAAACAAAAUGCAGUGGCUGCGGGGCUUCCAGGCAGGGCUGGGGAACAGGCCGGGCGCCCGCCUUGGGCGCAUCUCCGCCUCUUAGGGGUAAGAGGCUCAGAGCCUACCCCUUAGGCCUAGUUGGAUGCGGGUCGGUCCUGCCCAAGGCCCCAGUGAGGGGAGCCGAGGCUAGGAAGGGGCAAGUUUUAUGUGUUUGGGAGGGGGUGUCUCUUCCCGGCCUCUGCGUCUUCCCCCUGGAGCGUCAGUAUGGUCAGGCUCUGGUGACCCAGCCGCUUUGCCUCCCGACUUUGGGAAGAGUAGCAAGGAGAGGUCCUGGCAAGUACACCCUGGGUGACAAACGGCUAUGAGAGUUCCCAGGUGAUUUCUCGAGCAGCUUCAGUUUACCGGAGCCCAGCCAGGAGAGAGAAUUUUAGCACAGGAAACGCAAUCCCGUGUCCAAGCUCCUAGAAUACCCAGGACUGAGAACCAAAGCAACAGACUUUUCCCAGGGAGCCACACUGCCUCCCCACCUCUUCUUUAACCCCUCACUUGGCAGCUCCAGGAGUUGGCUGCUGAAGACAGAGUACAGGAGGGCAUUUCGUUGACGUAAAAAAGCUACAAGCCCCUUCCGGGGCAAGGUCCAGCACCAUCUGUUAACAGGGCAGCCAGGGAGAAAGGAUGGGACCCCAGCACUCUGAGCAGAAUAAAUCUCUCUUCACUGGCCGAAGACCCUCUGCCUCAAAGGGCCCUACCCAGACUGCUGAGUGAGGAUCCCAUCCCCAAUCUUCCCACCCCUCUCAGGAAGAGCUGGGUCCCAGAAACUCCUAUGACACAAUAAAUCCACUUUCUCUGACAGUGUCAGAGCUUCAAGCCGAUACUGCAGCCUACCUCGGAUUUAAGUGCACAGGAGACUCCCCAGGUUGGAAAUUAUGGCUCUAGAGCCCGGUGUGUAGGCCAAAGGUAUGGCAAGCCUGUGACAGUCUCGGGUGACAUUCCCCACUUCCUUCAUUUCAUUAACAUCCCCUGGGAGGGGGCAGUCAGGCCAGUGCAGUCAGGAGAUUGGGGUCUUGCUCUGUGGCUGCUAAGUCUCCUUCCUUCUCUGGACCUCAGGAAAUAAAGAGGAUGGAAGGAAUGGUCCCGCAGUCCCUUCCAGACACACGGGUGGAUCUCGAACCUGGAGAAUGCCUAAAUAGCAGGAAGGAGAGAACCCAUGUCCCCUCCCAAAACGCAACCUUGGAAAUGGGUAAACAUUUAACUCCUGAAAAAGAACUGGCCCUGGUUUCCUGACUCAAAGGGCCCAGACUUAGGGCCUAUCCUGUUCCUCACAUUUUGAGUGGCUCCCCUGGGCCCUCUUCUGCCAACACUGCCGCAGCUCCACGAUCUCCUGGCCAUACCAGUCAUGCAGGGUAGAGAAGCAGGAGGUCUCAGGGGACACAGGGCUCUGCCCCUUGCCUAGGAGGAGGCUGGCAGGGCCCUGCAGCUCCCACUCAGCCAACCCCCACCCUGCAGACCUGCUGCCCGCUUCUUCAACCAAGCCCACAGGGCUGCUGUCCUUGGAGAGGCAGUGGCCAUUCUCCAGGCCCGCAGCUCGGUGGUUAGGAGCCUGGGGCUUACAGCGGCUGGCAACAGACUUCCAGGAUGAGCGGCGUUGCAAAGCCAGGCUCUGGCGUGCGUCCUGCAACUGGCUCUCCAACUCGCGUACCACCAGGCGCAUGUAGCCAAAGCUUGCCCGGGACAGCACCUUCACCCAGGCCUCCUGGGCCGCCGGCCCUUCUGCGGCCAGCAGGUGUGGGCGCACUCCAGGGGCAUCAAAGCAGAUGGCAAAGGCAAACUCCUCGGGCACGGGAGCCUCGGCCAGUUCCACUGUGCAGCCUUCCAGCACCACCAGGCUCAGUGGGGCCCGGCCCUCGCGACUCUCAAAGGAGAAUAGCAGGUUGCCCUUGAGGACAAACCAGCAUCUUCGGCCAGUGCCACUGGGGGUCGGUGGGGUCCCUGGGCCCCCCCAGGUGCGCAGGAAGCCCAUGUGGUCCGCUGGGGAGUCGCUGAGUGCAUAGUGGGCUACACUCCUCUCGUUCAGCUUCAUGGCUCCCACGGGAACUGUGAGGCAAGAGAGAUGGCAGCAGAUCAGAGAGGGAGGUGGUUCCGUGCCCUCCUGGGGAACAGCACCGGCUCCAGAGGCAACCUGGACCCCAGCCCUGGGACUCCUACUCGCUUGCUGUGUCCCUAAGGUCCCUAAAGUCUCCUGAGAAGUGGGCUCGUCUUUCCUUCCUUUUCUCUCAAAGGGAUGUCGUGAGGAUCAUGCAAAAAAAACUGGACACUGGCGGACUUCGAGAAAAGAAUAACGAGAUUGCAUCAGACAGGAGGCAUGGCAGGACCUGGGCACGGCUUUCUAAAAUCCAAAGAAACAGGCCCCAGCUGAGCUGAAAUGGACCCCAGACCCAUCGAAACCACUGUGCUUAAACUAUCCCCUCAUCUGGGGUCCUCUCAACUCCAACUCUGAGGCCAAGCUUCCAGGGUUUCCAUGACCCUCCUGGGCCUCUACUGGCCUCUUAUUUGCAUAUAGCUGUUGAAUCUUAU
This 2716-nucleotide long non-coding RNA is filed under the name Homo sapiens (human). RNAcentral's name for it is "non-protein coding lnc-NDUFA6-2:2". The record is from RNAcentral. Lineage: Eukaryota; Metazoa; Chordata; Mammalia; Primates; Hominidae.